Molecule: ribosomal RNA, 2646 nt
Filed under: Triticum aestivum (bread wheat)
Lineage: Eukaryota; Viridiplantae; Streptophyta; Magnoliopsida; Poales; Poaceae
Description: partial small subunit ribosomal RNA
Source: RNAcentral
AUGGCCAUGACUGGGCUGCUCGCGCUUCUCGUCGCGGCCGGGGCCGCGGUUGCGGCGGACGCCAAGCCGUACAGCCCGACGGACUCCAUCCUGCUCAACUGCGGUUCCACGGCGGACGGCCUUGACGCGGACGGGCGCAAGUGGCUGGCGGACACCAACAACAACAUGUGGCUGGGCGACUCCGGCAAGUCGUCCCUGAUGGCGGCGGCGGACGAGCUGGACUCGUCGCUGCCGUCGACGAUCCCCUACAUGACGGCGCGCGUCUUCACGGUGGACACGGUGUACAACUUCACGGUGAACCCCAAGGACCGGCACUGGCUCCGCCUCCACUUCUACCCGUCGUCCUACAACGGGAUCGCGCCCGAGGACUUCCGCUUCUCCGUCUCCACCUCCACGGGCCUCACCCUCCUCCGCAACUUCAGCGUGUGGGUCACCACCAAGGCGCUCACCCAGGCCUACAUCGUCCGGGAGUUCUCGCUCCCGCGGACGCCCGCGGGGUUCAUCGCCGUCACCUUCACCCCCACGCCCACGCCCAUGACCAACGUCACCUACGCCUACAUCAACGGCCUGGAGCUCAUCUCCAUGCCCGACAUCUUCGAGGACCCCGCCACCAUGGUGGGCUUCGCCGACCAGACCGUUGACAUCGCCGCCUCCUCCUUCCAGACCAUGUACCGCUUCAACAUCGGCGGGGGUUACAUCCCGCCCUCCAACGACUCCGGCCUCGCCCGCUCCUGGUUCGACGACACGCCCUACGUCUUCGGCGUCAUGCAGGGGGUCAGCUACACGGCCGGCCCCCGCUUCCACGUCAAGUACCCCACCGAGGCGUCCGAGUACGCCGCCCCCGUCGAGGUCUACCUCGGCACCCGCUCCAUGGGCUCCGACCCGCGCGUCAACCAGAACUACAACCUCACCUGGACCAUGGAGGUGGACGGCAACUUCACCUACGUCGUCCGCCUCCACUUCUGCGAGCUCCUGCUCAACAGGCCCAAUCAGCGCGCCUUCGACAUCUACAUCAACAACAAGACGGCGCAGUCCGACGCCGACGUCAUCGAGAUGACGUCCGAGCGUGGCGUGCCCGUGUACAAGGACUUCGCCGUGCACAUGGCCGACGACCCCGGGGAUGAGGUCAUGUGGGUGGCCAUGCACCCCUCCGUGGCGCUCAGGCCCCAGUUCUACGACGCCAUCCUCAACGGCCUCGAGGUCUUCAAGCUCAACGACAGCGCCGCCAACCUGGCCGCGCCGGACCCCGUACCGUCCAAGAUGCUCGCGGAGGCGGAGCUGAGCGAGAGUGAGAAGGAAAGGUCCAAGAAGUCCAAGGACCAGGCAAACAUGGCGACGGUCAUAGGUGGCACGGCGGGCGGCGCCGCUGCGGUGGGGAUCGUCGCGGCCAUCUGCCUGGUGGUCUACCACAACAAGAAGAACAGGGAGCUCACCGGCAGCGACUCGCACAACUCCGGCUGGCUGCCCAUGUACCACUCUACAACCAGCGGCAAGUCGUCCGGCCACCUCGCGGCGAACCUGGCGGGCAUGUGCCGGCACUUCUCCAUCGCGGAGAUAAAGACGGCGACCAAGAACUUCAGCGAGUCGCUGGUGAUCGGCGUGGGCGGGUUCGGGAAGGUGUACCGCGGCGUGGUGGACGGCGACACCAAGGUGGCCAUCAAGCGGUCCAACCCGUCGUCGGAGCAGGGCGCGCUGGAGUUCCAGACGGAGAUCGAGAUGCUGUCCAAGCUGCGGCACCGGCACCUCGUCUCCCUCAUCGGCUUCUGCGAGGAGAGCAACGAGAUGGUCCUCGUCUACGACUACAUGGAGCACGGCACGCUGCGGGAGCACCUCUACAACAAGGGCAGCAACCCGCCGCUGUCGUGGCGGCACCGCCUCGACAUCUGUAUCGGCGCCGCGCGGGGUUUGCACUACCUCCACACCGGCGCCAAGUACACCAUCAUCCACCGCGACGUCAAGACCACCAACAUCCUCGUGGACGAGAACUGGGUCGCCAAGGUCUCCGACUUCGGCCUCUCCAAGUCCGGCUCCUCCACGGUGAACCAGGCGCACGUCAGCACCAUGGUCAAGGGGAGCUUCGGAUACCUCGACCCGGAGUACUUCCGGCGGCAGCAGCUCACCGACAAGUCGGACGUCUACUCCUUCGGCGUCGUGCUGUUCGAGGUGCUCAUGGCGCGGCCGGCGCUGAGCCCGCAGCUGCCGCGGGACCAGGUCAGCCUCGCCGACUAUGCGCUCAGCUGCCAGCGGAAGGGCACCCUGCCGGACGUCGUCGACCCGACCAUCAAGGACCAGAUCGCGCCAGAGUGCCUCAUCAAGUUCGCCGAGACGGCGGAGAAGUGCCUAGCCGACCAAGGCUUGGAGCGGCCGUCCAUGGGCGACGUGCUGUGGAACCUCGAGUUCGCGAUGCAGCUGCAGGACGCGUUCGACGGCGCUAGCGGGCGACGGCAGGCCCAAGACGACGGGAGCGGCAGUGGGCGCCCGGUGCUCGAGCCCAGCAACAGCUAUGGGAGCACCGCUAGCGUAACGACGAUCGGGACGUCGUCCACGUCCAGGGCGCACGACGCUUGCGUCGUAAUAGAGGAGGAGGACGACGACAUAACCAACCGCGCGGCCUUCUCGCAGCUCGUGCAACCCACCGGGCGGUGA